AGGCAGCAGUUAGGAAUCUUCCGCAAUGGACGAAAGUCUGACGGAGCAACGCCGCGUGAGUGAUGAAGGUUUUCGGAUCGUAAAACUCUGUUGUUAGGGAAGAACAAGUACCGUUCGAAUAGGGCGGUACCUUGACGGUACCUAACCAGAAAGCCACGGCUAACUACGUGCCGGCAGCCGCGGUAAUACGUAGGUGGCAAGCGUUGUCCGGAAUUAUUGGGCGUAAAGCGCGCGCAGGCGGUUUCUUAAGUCUGAUGUGAAAGCCCCCGGCUCAACCGGGGAGGGUCAUUGGAAACUGGGGAACUUGAGUGCAGAAGAGGAGAGUGGAAUUCCAUGUGUAGCGGUGAAAUGCGUAGAUAUAUGGAAGAACACCGGUGGCGAAGGCGGCUCUCUGGUCUGUUACUGACGCUGAGGCUCGAAAGCAUGGGUAGCGAACAGGAUUAGAUACCCUAGUAGUCC
This 459-nucleotide ribosomal RNA is filed under the name uncultured bacterium. RNAcentral's name for it is "bacterial SSU rRNA". It matches the Rfam family "Bacterial small subunit ribosomal RNA", at positions 346 to 796 of the family's 1533-position model. The record is from RNAcentral.